This 1420-nucleotide ribosomal RNA is filed under the name uncultured bacterium. Its description in RNAcentral is "bacterial SSU rRNA". It matches the Rfam family "Bacterial small subunit ribosomal RNA". The record is from RNAcentral.
GAGUUUGAUCAUGGCUCAGGACGAACGCUGGCGGCGUGCUUAACACAUGCAAGUCGAACGAAGAGCGAUGGAAGCUUGCUUCUAUCAAUCUUAGUGGCGAACGGGUGAGUAACGCGUAAUCAACCUGCCCUUCAGAGGGGGACAACAGUUGGAAACGACUGCUAAUACCGCAUACGAUCUAACCUCGGCAUCGAGGAAAGAUGAAAGGUGGCCUCUACAUGUAAGCUAUCACUGAAGGAGGGGAUUGCGUCUGAUUAGCUAGUUGGAGGGGUAACGGCCCACCAAGGCGAUGAUCAGUAGCCGGUCUGAGAGGAUGAACGGCCACAUUGGGACUGAGACACGGCCCAGACCCCUACGGGAGGCAGCAGUGGGGAAUCUUCCGCAAUGGACGAAAGUCUGACGGAGCAACGCCGCGUGAGUGAUGACGGCCUUCGGGUUGUAAAGCUCUGUUAAUCGGGACGAAAGGCCUUCUUGCGAAUAGUGAGAAGGAUUGACGGUACCGGAAUAGAAAGCCACGGCUAACUACGUGCCAGCAGCCGCGGUAAUACGUAGGUGGCAAGCGUUGUCCGGAAUUAUUGGGCGUAAAGCGCGCGCAGGCGGAUAGGUCAGUCUGUCUUAAAAGUUCGGGGCUUAACCCCGUGAUGGGAUGGAAACUGCCAAUCUAGAGUAUCGGAGAGGAAAGUGGAAUUCCUAGUGUAGCGGUGAAAUGCGUAGAUAUUAGGAAGAACACCAGUGGCGAAGGCGACUUUCUGGACGAAAACUGACGCUGAGGCGCGAAAGCCAGGGGAGCGAACGGGAUUAGAUACCCCGGUAGUCCUGGCCGUAAACGAUGGGUACUAGGUGUAGGAGGUAUCGACCCCUUCUGUGCCGGAGUUAACGCAAUAAGUACCCCGCCUGGGGAGUACGACCGCAAGGUUGAAACUCAAAGGAAUUGACGGGGGCCCGCACAAGCGGUGGAGUAUGUGGUUUAAUUCGACGCAACGCGAAGAACCUUACCAGGUCUUGACAUUGAUGGACAGAACCAGAGAUGGUUCCUCUUCUUCGGAAGCCAGAAAACAGGUGGUGCACGGUUGUCGUCAGCUCGUGUCGUGAGAUGUUGGGUUAAGUCCCGCAACGAGCGCAACCCCUAUCUUAUGUUGCCAGCACUUCGGGUGGGAACUCAUGAGAGACUGCCGCAGACAAUGCGGAGGAAGGCGGGGAUGACGUCAAAUCAUCAUGCCCCUUAUGACCUGGGCUACACACGUACUACAAUGGGAGUUAAUAGACGGAAGCGAGAUCGCGAGAUGGAGCAAACCCGAGAAACACUCUCUCAGUUCGGAUCGUAGGCUGCAACUCGCCUACGUGAAGUCGGAAUCGCUAGUAAUCGCAGGUCAGCAUACUGCGGUGAAUACGUUCCCGGGCCUUGUACACACCGCCCGUC